RNAcentral lists this ribosomal RNA (301 nucleotides) under uncultured bacterium. RNAcentral's name for it is "partial 16S ribosomal RNA". It matches the Rfam family "Bacterial small subunit ribosomal RNA", at positions 509 to 807 of the family's 1533-position model. The record is from RNAcentral.
CGGUAGCCGCGGGAAUACGUAGGGUGCAAGCGUUAAUCGGAAUUACUGGGCGUAAAGCGUGCGCAGGCGGUUAUAUAAGACAGAUGUGAAAUCCCCGGGCUCAACCUGGGAACUGCAUUUGUGACUGUAUAGCUAGAGUACGGCAGAGGGGGAUGGAAUUCCGCGUGUAGCAGUGAAAUGCGUAGAUAUGCGGAGGAACACCGAUGGCGAAGGCAAUCCCCUGGGCCUGUACUGACGCUCAUGCACGAAAGCGUGGGGAGCAAACAGGAUUAGAUACCCCAGUAGUCCCUGUCUCUUAUAC